CGAGCCGGGCGGACGGCCGCGUGAAGACCCCUUCGGGGGCCCUUCCCGAGGAACGUCCGGGCUCCACAGGGCAAGGUGGUGGCUAACGGCCACCCGGGGUGACCCGCGGGACAGUGCCACAGAAAGCAGACCGCCCAGCUUGCUGGGUAAGGGUGAAACGGUGGUGUAAGAGACCACCAGCGCCUGAGGUGACUCAGGCGGCUAGGUAAACCCCACCUGGAGCAAGGUCAAGAGGAAGCACCCCGGUGCUUCUGCGCGGACGACCGAGGGCUGCCCGCCCGAGUCCGCGGGUAGACCGCACGAGGCCGGCGGCAACGCCGGCCCUAGAUGGAUGGCCGUCUCCCCGGCCGCCGCGAGGCGCCCGGGCGACAGAACCCGGCGUACAGCCCGACUCGUCUG
This 399-nucleotide RNase P RNA is filed under the name Streptomyces spectabilis. RNAcentral describes it as "RNase P RNA component class A". It matches the Rfam family "Bacterial RNase P class A". Rfam says of the family: Ribonuclease P (RNase P) is a ubiquitous endoribonuclease, found in archaea, bacteria and eukarya as well as chloroplasts and mitochondria. Its best characterised activity is the generation of mature 5'-ends of tRNAs by cleaving the 5'-leader elements of precursor-tRNAs. Lineage: Bacteria; Bacillati; Actinomycetota; Actinomycetes; Kitasatosporales; Streptomycetaceae. The record is from RNAcentral.